RNAcentral lists this long non-coding RNA (4857 nucleotides) under Equus caballus (horse). RNAcentral describes it as "lncRNA (ENSECAG00000056229.1)". Lineage: Eukaryota; Metazoa; Chordata; Mammalia; Perissodactyla; Equidae. The record is from RNAcentral.
CAGCCACAGAAACAGCCGCUGGCUCCAGUGCCUGCACAGGAGCAAGGACAGGCCAAGAGCAUGUCCGGCCAGGACAGAAAGUGCCCGACGGGGCAGGGAGAACACAGUGAAUGCCUGGUCCAGCCACCCUGCACCAGCACAAACAAAAGGCAGCCAUGACUCCCCGCCCCUCCGUCCUCUCCAGCGCAGCACAAGCGAGGCCAAGCAAGGCACAAAGAGGGCAGUCUGCGCAGUGACUGACUGCCGCAGCCCAGGAAAGCAGCAAGCACCUCCUGGGAAAAAGUGAUAAACAACCAAAUGCUGUUCUGGUGGCUUUAACAGCGCCCCCAGUGACAGCCUGGGAACACCCUACCCCCCUCAACUAGGGGGAGGGCCAAAGGACCUUGGCCCAUCCUUACAGCGCUGUGCUCAGCCUUACAGGUGGCUCGGGUAUUGGUGGACUGGAGGCCACAGGUAGAAACAAUGUAUUGGUCUACAGGAGCAAAAAGCAUUUUGCUGUCAGGAGUGGAAAUGAGCAAACUGACUUCCAUCACGUCCCACCCCAUCCUAUGGCAAUGCUUCUAUAACACCACCAGUGGACAAAAGCCCCCGAUGUUGCUUUGUUUCAUUAUAUUGAUGAUGUCUUGUUAACCUCUGAGUCUUUUCCAGAUCUUGAAGGAGCCUCCAGCUCCCUCCUCACCCACCUAUGCCAAUGAGGAUGGAUGGUAAAUGACAACAGAGUACAGGGGUCUAGAUUGUCUGUCAAAUACUUGGGUGUUAUCUGAUUGGGUAAGACAAAAGCAGUUCCUGCUACGAUUGUAGAUAAGAUACAGGCUGCCUGGCCUCUUUAUAAGUUGAUGGGGAAGGGGGCCAUCUGGGACUGGGGCUUACUGAGCAGGAGGCCUUUGCCCAAGCCAAAGUAGCAGUGAAACAAAUUCAGUCCUUGGGUGUUUUAACACAAGGACAACCAUGUCAAUUGGAUGUUUCCGGUUACCCAGAAGGGUUUGGAUGGAAUCUCCGGCAGAGGCAAGGCAAUAAAUGAGUGCCCCUUGGCUUCUGGUCCCAAUUGUGGAAAGGAGCUGAAAACCGGCACGGUGCCCUGGAACAAUUAUGUGCUGCUUACCUGGCCCUUCAGCAGGUGGAGCCCAUAAUCCACUUUCUGCCAGUCACGGUCCACAUUUGUUUGCCCAUUGCGGGGUGGCUGUGGGAUGCUUUCCAAAAGCCCCACUCCAGAACAGGCCAAACACAGACACUAGCCAAGUGGCAUGCAUAUUUACAAUAAUGAGGGACCUACACCAGCAAUCCCCUAAGUGCAGAAUUGCAUGCCAUCCUAGGACCAGUAGCAUACACUACAGAAGAACCAAUCCCGUUAAAUGAGGUACCUAUGCCUGAAACCCUGCCAAAUAUAUGGGAAGGAGAAGGACCAAUCCUGGCGGAGACCUGGUAUAUGGUUGGCUCUGCAAGGGGAAACCCUGCCCAGUGGACAGCAGUGACCAUCCAGCCUUCAACCGACAGUAUAUGGUUGGACUCUGGCUCUGGGUACAGUAGUCAAUGGUCUGAAUUGCAGGCUGCCUGGAUGGUGUUGACUCGUGAGCCCAAUCCAAUAUGUCUAUGUACGAACAUUCAGGCAGUUUAUAAAGGGCUCACCCUAUGGAUGGCCCAAUGGGUACAACAAAAGUGUACUAUUAAUGGUCAUCCAUUGCCGGGGGCAGAACUCUGGGAUGAUAUCUGGCAACAGGUCUGGGAAAUGACCGUAACAGUAUACCAUGUGUCUGCACAUCAGGUGACAAUGCUAUUAGGAAACCAGCAGGAAGAUGAGUUAGCUCGAAUUUGCCUCCUGGAAGAAGAACCAGCAGAGAGAGUGGCAGAAUGGCUAUAAAAGAGGAUUGGACAUAAAGGACAAAAAGCCCUCUGGGCUAUUGCUAAGGCCUGGGGCCUCCCCCUGUGCUAUGCAGACAUAGUGGAGGCCCGUCAGGAGUGCCCUUCCUGCUUCUUGUGGAGACCCCGUGCCAUUCCCUGGGACACAGGCCAAAUAGCCAGAGGCAACCAGCCCUCUCAAGGCUGGCAGAUGGACUACAUCGGGCCCUUGUCUCUCUUUGAUGGCUGUCGGUAUGCUCUUACUUGUGUGGACACGUACACAGGACUGCUGCAGGCAUACCCCAGCAAAAGGGCCACACAGAAGACCACCAUAAAGCGCCUGGAACAUCUCUGUACUGCAUACAGUGUUCCCACAGACAUUGACAGUGACCAACAUAUGCAUUUUACUGGCCACCAGGUACAGAUGUGGGCCAUCAAAUGGACAUACAUUGGCAUUUCCACCUGCCAUACAACCCAAGGGCUGUGGGGCUGGUGGAAUGCAUGAACAGCCUGCUGAAACAACAACUAAGGACAGAAGAUGGGACUCUGGCCCACUGGACAAGACGGCUGACAACGGCAAUACGGGAACUAAAUGAACAUGAGAGACACACUCGACCCAGUGCAUAUCAGAUAUUGACACAAGGACCUGAUACAACAGAACAUCUACAAACAUGAGCUAAUCAAGGAGAGAAACUGCAACCACAGAUGGGCACUCAGAACAACAACUUGCCUCUGCCACAAGAACUUCCUACUGGGACCCACAUGGUCACUUGGCCCUGGGACUGGCAGGACAACAUCUGCGAACGUUUUCACUGCCUGAAGACACACCGCUGCUGACAUACAAAAUCACUCCAACUGCUGAGUAUGCAGCGAGCUGCCUCUCUCUUCAACCACAGGGUUACCAUGGUGUCUCCAAGCUGCCAACGCCUCUGACUGAAGGGCCCUAGGAGAGUGGAGGAACACUGCCCUCUUUCCCAUUUCUACUCCCCUCCACAUGCUGUGCUCUCUAUUGCUGUUGUGGUGUCUGCUUACAAUGCUCCUCUAUGUGUCUGGCUCAAGGGACUCUGCGGAAGAAUGGCGCACGCGACAAGAUUGUGAGGGCCAUUAGGGCAAAAGGGGGAUGGGGUGUGGGUCCUGGGCCUUGCCUGCUCAACAGAAACCCCCAGGCCCAUUGCAACUGUGGGGGACUGGAAUUGGCCUCGCCAAGAUAUGUCUCUUUGGCAUGAGGAUUAUUUGGGGCUGAUUACUUUUAAUAAACUGCAGACAGGAAAGCAACUGAAAAGUAGAAUUUACUUACCCUUUGUAAGAGACAUUUACAUUGUAAAGGAAAUCUCCAUCUGUACAAGGUGUCUCCCUCUCCGUACCAGGAAGAAGGGGGGAUGACCUUAUCUCUAGAAACUCCUAUCAGUACAGAAUGCAAGGACUUAAAUCUGCAUAAUAAUCUUAUUCCUGUUUAUUGUACUUGUCUGGUAACCUCCUAUAACUGACUCCCCCCACCUGCAGCAUCCUCCUUUGUCUUUAGCUGAAUAUGACAUUUAAGGUGGUGGCUUCAGCCAAUUUGGCGAGUUGCUCAGGUUGCCUGAGCCUCUCCCAUGUAUACAUGUUAUAAAGCUUUGUUUAAUUUUCUCCUGUUAUUCUGUCUCAUGUGAAUUUAAUUUGUUCUCAGGCCAAAAGAACCCAAAGAAAGUAGAGGAAAUGUCUAUCUCCCCUACACAACCAUGUUUCCUUCUGGCUCCCUUCUGGGCAGGCAGCCCAGCUACUGGGAUUUGUAACGAUCUGGACCUGGCCAGCCCAGAUCCUCCCUUAUCCCAUGAGAAGAACAUCAUCUUUUUGUUUUCUUUUUUGAGGAAGAAUAACCCUGAGAUAACUGCUGCCAAUCCUCCCCUUUUUGCUGACGAAGACUGGCCCUGAGCUAACAUCCAUGCCCAUCUUCCUCGACUUUAUACAUGGGAUGCCUACCACAGCAUGGCAUGCCAAGCGGUGCCAUGUCCGCACCUGGGAUCCGAACCAGCGAACCCCAGGCCACCAAAGCGGAACAUGCGACCUUAACCACUGUGCCACCAGGCUGGCCCCCAGAACAUCAUGUCUUACAGGGACACAGAGACUCUCCAUGUGAGCUAAUGUUCCUGGGAAUGCUGGUCGUACCAAGGACAGCCCUUUGGCAAGCACACAGCCUUUGCUCUUCUGCCUACUUAAGCAAGCUUCUCUUGGGGGGCAGUGGCAAGUGCACACUUCCAUCCAGCCAGCUGCCACUGGACAUGAUCCCUGUAAAUAAGUCCCAAUAAACGUAUAUGUCUCGUUUGCGGUCCCUGGUUCGUUUCUUCAGUCUCUCGGCCCGAUAUCCCACCGUCCUAACCCAGCUGGGCUUGUGGCCUAACAUAGGGGCAUAGAGCACUUAACAUGUGCCAAAUGAAAACAACAUUCAACUCCAUAAAAUCACUUGGUUUCCAACUUCGACUAGUGACUGGCACCCAGUGUGGAAGACGUGAAGCUAACUGUCAUGUGUGACAAUGCCCUAUCUCUUGUCAUACAAUAGCAAAUCCACUAUUAUGCUAUGUUUGUUCUACUACACAUAUAUAUUUUUGAAGGUCUUUGGUGAAGAGUGGUAUGUUUAUUUUCAUGUGAAAUAGCCACAAUAAUUAUGUACUGUCAUAUCUUCCUGACUUAAAAGGCACUUGAUAUAUAUAGUUAGAGAUUAUCUAUUGCAUAUAGGUUGCUAGAUAUUCAUUGUAAAUUACAUCCUUAAUAAAUAUGAAGUUAUCAUCUUUUUCCCAUUUAAUGCUAAUUGCAAUGGUGUUACAUUUUCUCCAAUUUAGCAUUCCUACUCCUCACUUCAUUGUGUCUAUGUUUGAUAGAGCAUUACCUGUCAUUUUGCUUAUAGAAUAUUUCUUGCAUGUUAUUUUAUGAUCUGUUAUAAACAAAGAGGUAAUAUAGUCCAAUUUACUGGCAAAAGGGAGUCUCUGGAGCCAGAGUCUUUGCAUCCGGAUAGAAGUUGCAACAUAAAUAACAAAGUGACCAAAG